GUAGGGCGGCGUCGUCCUCGUCCCCGUCCCCGUCCCAGGCAGUGCCGCUCUCCAUCUCCCCCCGCCCUCUCCCUCUCCUUCUCCUCCUGCAUCCCAUCUGAGAUCCCACAUCGACUUCUAUAGAGGGAGAACCAGAGAAAAGCAUAGCAAGCUGGAAGAUGCGGAGCCCAUGGGGUGCCGGUGGCAGAAGCGGCGAGGUCCAGAGAUAAGAAACAGGUAACUUGAUUCGUUCUUAUAGAAUUUUGAGCUGUUCUCUGUGCAGACUUGGUUGGUUUUGAUGCUUUCAGUUGGUCCUCGCCUACCAAUACGGUCGGUCAGAUCAAGCAGAUGAAAUGCAGCUAGAUAGCUAGAGAGGUCUGUGCUGUGCCCAUCGGAUGAUUCACUGCCUCAUCUUUAUAGUUCAACUCGCGUGUCAUUUAUUAUACGGUUAGCACGAAGAACGUGAGACAUUGUUCUACUGCUCUAUUAAUUAGGUUAGCAUUUUCCUACUGUGUACUGCAUGUUGAAACGCAAUCUUUCUGUUUGUCAGAAAGUUCUGAGUUUUUCUAUUUUAGUGCAGUUCAGAGUUUUGCAUUUUUCUUUGUUGUGUCACUUUCAUAAUAGUAAAUAUUUUAGUCAAGCAAUCCUUAACAAAUAUUCAGGGAAUUUGUAAGCUUACUUACUAGUUCUACAUUCCUAGAAUUUUAAGCUUACUUAUUAGUUCUGUUCUCUAGUUUGUCUAUGUUGCUAGCAGUCAGUUCGCCAUAACAGAUGUGAAGUGCUACUGCAAUACAUAUAGUAAUUUUGAUUGUGGCUGACCUUAUGUUAAAAACUACUGGAAAUGUCUUCUGCUAUGUAUGCUUUCAUGUCAAUAAUUACCUUUUCUCUUUUUUUCAGCUUGGUUUUUGAUCUGCCCUGUCUAUGAUUAGUGAUUUUUGAAGGUGUUCCUCUUGAAGCUGAGCUCUGUUAAAACAAAUUAUCUGUCUUCGAGAUGGAUUUAACUCAUUGGAGAUGCAACCAAUUAUCUUGUCACCAUGAUCCCCAUCAGCACUGUUUUUG
RNAcentral lists this long non-coding RNA (1038 nucleotides) under Sorghum bicolor (sorghum). Its description in RNAcentral is "long non-coding RNA (SBIC_LNC012496)". The record is from RNAcentral. Lineage: Eukaryota; Viridiplantae; Streptophyta; Magnoliopsida; Poales; Poaceae.